GACGAACGCUGGCGGCGUGCUUAACACAUGCAAGUCGAACGGGCCUGUCUUCUUUUUUGGGGGUGGGUUGAGUGGCGAACGGGUGAGUAUCACGUGAGUAACCUGCCCUUCGGUCCUGGAUAACCGCUUGAAAGGGCGGCUAAUACGGGGUGGUCCGGUUGGUCCGCAUGGGCUGGUCGGGAUAGAUUCACUGUUUUUGGUGUUUCGGCGGGGGAUGGGGUCGCGGCCUAUCAGCUUGGUGGUGGGGUGUUGGCCUACCAAGGCGGGGACGGGUAGCCGGGCGGAGGGGGUGGCCGGCCAGACUGGGACUGAGAUACGGCCCAGACUGCGGCGGGAGGGAGCAGUGGGGGGUAUUGCACAAUGGGCGGAAGCCUGAUGCAGCGACGUCGCGUGAGGGAUGGAGGCCUUCGGGUUGUGAACCUCUGUUUCCGGUGGUGAAGGCCCUGUCCGUGUGGUGGGGUUGACGGUAGCCGGGGAUGAAGCGCCGGCUAACUACGUG
RNAcentral lists this ribosomal RNA (499 nucleotides) under uncultured bacterium. RNAcentral's name for it is "partial 16S ribosomal RNA". It matches the Rfam family "Bacterial small subunit ribosomal RNA", at positions 28 to 507 of the family's 1533-position model. The record is from RNAcentral.